This 305-nucleotide ribosomal RNA is filed under the name uncultured bacterium. RNAcentral describes it as "bacterial SSU rRNA". It matches the Rfam family "Bacterial small subunit ribosomal RNA", at positions 337 to 640 of the family's 1533-position model. The record is from RNAcentral.
ACCUACGGGGGGCAGCAGUGAGGAAUAUUGGUCAAUGGUCGGGAGACUGAACCAGCCAAGCCGCGUGAGGGAGGAAGGUACAGAGUAUCGUAAACCUCUUUUGUCAGGGAACAAAGGCGGGGACGUGUCCCCGGAUGAGUGUACUUGAAGAAAAAGCAUCGGCUAACUCCGUGCCAGCAGCCGCGGUAGUACGGAGGAUGCGAGCGUUAUCCGGAUUUAUUGGGUUUAAAGGGUGCGCAGGCGGUCUGUUAAGUCAGCGGUCAAAGCCCGGGGCUCAACCCCGGCCCGCCGUUGAAACUGGCAGU